Molecule: long non-coding RNA, 906 nt
Organism: Ornithodoros turicata
Lineage: Eukaryota; Metazoa; Arthropoda; Arachnida; Ixodida; Argasidae
Exons: 4
Source: RefSeq, a predicted model, not a curated record
GAAUUAGUUUAAAGAGUGCAUUAUGCGGAAAGCAAACAGACCAAAACACUUACAACCAAAAUUGCACAGCCUAUUAGACAUCCUUUGAUGUAGACAUCCAGGUCAACGGGAAAUGAGACGCUGAUGGACUUCGCGACUCGUAUCUCGCCCAUUGUAUUGCCUGCCUUUGUUUUCACCUGAAAAGGGUGUGAAGUUUUACUUAUGCAUUCCACAAUGCCAUGACUACACAAUGCACCAAGAGCCCUAUUGACAAUCCAUCGGGCAGCGGCUACUGCUGUAGGACAAUGCACCUGUCAGUAGUACAUCAAGAACGAAGACGCAACAGUGCAACGAAAAUACAGAGAACACUUCCUGAGCCAUCCAAAAAAGGACUCAAGUGGGUCUGAGGACAUUUUUCUGCAGGUUACGUUCCUCUGUCUCGAUUAUGAGUGUUGCUAACUUGCCCAGACAUACCAUGAUGAUGUCACACCUGACGUCCCAGGGUGUCCAGAAGUGGUGAUCACAAGAAGAAAGGUGGAGCCACCUAGUGUGAUGCCUUAGAACUGUGUAGCCAACCACCUGCCUCUGUGCUCCGUCACCCCAACGAUGCUGGACACAAUGACGCUAAGAACACACCGGACAACAGGUUUUCAACGAGCGCGACCCCAGACCUUUCUGGAACUCCAAGGCUCUGACACGUAAUCUCCCCGGCCGAUGACCCAGGAACCUUCCGGAAUCUUCCAGAACAUGACUCACUGACGACUGCCUCGCAGUGGAAUUGUACCGGCUGUGACGACACCUUUGUAACCUUUUAAAAGACCUUGUACAUAGAUUUUCGUCUCAGUCCCGAAGAAGGGGGAGCAUCCGCCGAAACAUAGACUUCCCCCCUUAGUUUAAAUGCCAGUUUAAUAAAUAACUUUCCCCCAC